GAUGAACGCUGACAGAAUGCUUAACACAUGCAAGUCCACUUGAACUUCGGUUUGGGUGGCGGACGGGUGAGUAACGCGUAAAGAACUUGCCUCACAGAUAGGGACAACAUUUGGAAACGAAUGCUAAUACCUGAUAUUAUGAUUAUAUGGCAUCGUAUAAUUAUGAAAGCUAUAUGCGCUGUGAGAGAGCUUUGCGUCCUAUUAGCUAGUUGGAGAGGUAACGGCUCACCAAGGCGAUGAUGGGUAGCCGGCCUGAGAGGGUGAUCGGCCACAAGGGGACUGAGACACGGCCCUUACUCCUACGGGAGGCAGCAGUGGGGAAUAUGGGACAAUGGACCAAGAGUCUGAUCCAGCAAUUCUGUGUGCACGAUGAAGUUUUUCGGAAUGUAAAGUGCUUUCAGUUGGGAAGAAAAAAAUGACGGUACCAACAGAAGAAGUGACGGCUAAAUACGUG
Molecule: ribosomal RNA, 454 nt
Filed under: uncultured bacterium
Lineage: Bacteria
Description: partial 16S ribosomal RNA
Rfam family: Bacterial small subunit ribosomal RNA
Source: RNAcentral